GACAGAGGGUGCAAACGUUGUUCGGAAUUACUGGGCGUAAAGGGCUCGUAGGCGGCCAACUAAGUCGGAUGUGAAAUCCCCAGGCUUAACUUGGGAACUGCAUCCGAUACUGGAUGGCUUGAAUCCGGGAGAGGGAUGCGGAAUUCCAGGUGUAGCGGUGAAAUGCGUAGAUAUCUGGAGGAACACCGGUGGCGAAGGCGGCAUCCUGGACCGGCAUUGACGCUGAUGAGCGAAAGCCAGGGGAGCAAACGGG
RNAcentral lists this ribosomal RNA (253 nucleotides) under uncultured bacterium. Its description in RNAcentral is "partial 16S ribosomal RNA". It matches the Rfam family "Bacterial small subunit ribosomal RNA", at positions 524 to 776 of the family's 1533-position model. The record is from RNAcentral.